UCACCUGGCUGAUUGUGCUCAUGGCUCUCAUGUAGCUCUCAUUCCUAGAGCGGAAUUUUGGUGAAGUGAGAAGUCCUGCAGGGUCCAGGCUAUCCAGGCUCCUGUUGAUUGAGACUUCACUCACUGCCCUCAGGAAUGAAAUGAGGUCCCUUUCUCUUGGACUGGUUCCAUCAGAACAAGGCUUCCCAAUGACUGGCAGCACAAAGCUGGGAAGAUUAUUCUAUGGCAGCCCUUGCCAUGUCAAAACUUCUUCAGAUUGGAGCAUCAUUCACUGACUUUUAUUUCUGAAUAUCAUCCCAAUGGAGCAGUGAAUGUGGAGGUACUUUGAGAGCUGGAACAUGCUAUAAAAAUUAUCAUUUACAGAUGGUCAACUAGACUCUGCUAUCACAGUGCCAGUGACAAGAGGCUCGCUACUUAACAUGGCAGAACACUUUGGAGCUGGAACAGGUUAGGUUAGAACCUUGUGAAUCCUGAAAAGUCAAAAGAGCAAAGUGGAGAAGGCCCAGGGAUGGCUGCCUGUGACAGAAUGAGGCAAACUGCUACACACAACCAAGAGGGAACAGCUUGUCUAUCAGCAAGGCUGAAUUUGGAAGUGAACUGAGGAGGAACAAAUUCUUUGAGGUGACUCUUUUAAGUCCCUACAAGGACCAGUAGGACAGGAGAGAAUGUGUACAUUGAAGUGAAUCUCCAUGCUACAAACCUAGCUCUCAAAUUAUCCUUGAAGACUUCCCAUUGAAUUGUGUUGGGAGCAGUUUAUUAUCACAGAACGGCCUGACAUUCCAAAUCAACUGGACAUAAUACUGGUAUAAAAAGACUUAAUGACAAUGUUUUUAAUAGAUGCAACUAUACUCAGUCCUCAAAGUCUUCAUGUUACAUGGGGCAAAAAAUUCCAAGAUGCAGAGACCUAGAAGAAGAUGUCCAAACCAUAUGGGAAUGGGAAGAAAUUAUCUCCAUUAUCUGCCUCAUAAUCCUAUUUGCUACUGGAAUUGUUCCAAAGUUACUUUCAGCAAAACUACAAAAGACAAGUUUAUAUCCCAAUACCUUUAUUCUGUUAUAAAAAAACAGUUAUUCUACCAACUUGUGCAAUAAUUGGUGGAACAUUAAGUAUUAAAGAAUAAUAGUAAGAUAGUGAUAUCCCAGGAUUAUUUCCAUCUAAAUAAUGAGAAGAUAACAAUAAUAGUACCAUUAUUUAUUUUUAUGAAAAUACACUAAAUAAUAGGGAUAGUUAGGUUGCAUGAUGUCAAGGCAGUGUUUCAUAAUGUGAAACUGAGGAUGUAAUGAUAAUAUCAAGAUAUCAAAUAUUUAUCCUGAUCAGGGCAAUGAUAGGGGAGGUAUAGUAAUAUUUCUAGCUUAGCUAAGCUUUCAGUUAGUUCUCCCCUAUACUAAGAAUGCCUUUAAGUACUCAAUUUGUUAUUCCUAUUUCCAAUUUACUUAUUGAUUAAAGUUUGACAUUAAAAAGAAGUGACCAUUAAAAAAUUUUUUUCCUGUUUGAGCACAUUUGUUUAUAGAAAGAGAAAUUUGAGAUUAUGAUAUAAAAUCAGGUCAUUGCAACUAGAAGCAACAGAAAACAUUCUUUAAAAAUUUUUGUUUUUCUUGCUAUUGUUAUUUUAUUAUUAUUAUUUCUAUUAAUUUUUUAAUUUUUUUCCAUGAUUCCAUGACAUGAUUUCUCUCUCCCCUCAUCCCUCCCCACUUCCAGAGUUGUCAAGCGAUUCCACUGGGUUAUACAUACAUAUGUAUAUAAAAUCACUAGAAUCCAUUUCCAUAUUAUUCAUUUUUGUAAAAGAGUAAUCCUUUAAAACCAAAAACUCCAAAUCACAUACCUAAAUCAUAUGUUUUCUUCUAGAUUUCUACUCCCAAAGUUAUUCUCUAGAUUUGGAUAUCAUUCUUUCUCAAAAGUCCCAUAGAAUUGUUCUGGAUCAUUGCAUUGCUAUCAGUAGCAAAGUCAAUUACCUUUGAUUGUCCUACAAUGUUUUAGUUUCUGUGUAUAAUGUUUUCUUGGUUCUGCUUAUUUUACUCUGUCAGUUCAUGUAAAUCUUUCCAGUUUAUAAAGAAAUCAAGCAGUUCAUCAUUCCUUAUAGCACAAAAGUAUUCUAUCACCAUCAUAUAUACUACAAUUUGUUCAGUCAUUUCCCAUCAAGGGACACCCCCUCAUUUUCCAACUUCUUGCCACCACAAAAAGUGCAGCUGUAAAUAUUUUUCUAUAAACAGAUCCUUGCCCAGAUUAUCUCCUUGGUAUAUAAACCCAGAAGUGGUAUUACUGGAUCAAAGGGCAUGCAUUCUUUGAAAGCCCUUUGGGAAUGAUUGCAAAUUGCCCUCCAGAAUGGUCAGAUCAAUUCACAACUCCACCAGCAAUGCAUUAGUGUCCCAACUUUGUCAUAUCCUUUCCAGCAUUUAUUAUUUUCUUUUACUGUCAUAUUGGCCACUCUGCUAGGUGUAAGCAUCAACUUUUUUAUCUUUUAUUUGCUUACCUUUGUCUAAUAAAUUAUAUUUAUCAUUUUGAGUUGACCUUUGGUUUG
This is a non-coding RNA of Monodelphis domestica (gray short-tailed opossum), 2516 nucleotides long. The record is from RefSeq and is a predicted model, not a curated record. Lineage: Eukaryota; Metazoa; Chordata; Mammalia; Didelphimorphia; Didelphidae.